Monopterus albus (swamp eel) is the source of this 603-nucleotide long non-coding RNA. RefSeq lists it as uncharacterized. The record is from RefSeq and is a predicted model, not a curated record. The transcript is spliced from 4 exons. NCBI's taxonomy places the organism in Eukaryota, Metazoa, Chordata, Actinopteri, Synbranchiformes, Synbranchidae.
UCUCUCUCCUCUAUCCACUCACCCCAACCGGUCAAAGCAGAAGCUUAGAGUCAGAACUUUAAACUCACAACCACUGUUUCACUUCAGACUCAGUGUGCUUUACUGCACAGUGACAAAGCUGUUAAGAGAUGUUUCCAGUGCUUUGUGAGGGAUUUAUUUAUGGAAUGUAUUUUCCCUAAAACUGAACUGGGUGGAUUGUUCAGAUUCUUCAGGCACAAGGUCACACCCAGCCCAGGGCUUGUCAGUCUGGUCCAUAUGUCACAACAGAGAGACCGUGAACGGUAAACAACAAACUGCUGCUGCUGCGAUUCAAUAUCAGAGAAAAUGAAAGCUCAGGUUGUGAUCCUGCUCUUCGCUCUUGUGGUCGCGCUUAUAGCAGCCGACAGUAACCCCCCUGAGGACCGUGCAGUUAUUCCAGAGGACCAGUUCAUUCAAGACCUAAGGAGUCAGAAGAAUGAUUCGCAGUCAGAUACGAACGGCAAAGAAUCAAACAAGAAUGUAAAAGGAUAUCAAAAGGGUCCAUGAGAGGAAAAAACUGGCGACUUUCAUAACCUUGCUCAAAGUUAACCCCUAACCUGCACCCAAAACAUGUUGAAUGAAUAA